Molecule: long non-coding RNA, 1401 nt
Filed under: Mus musculus (house mouse)
Lineage: Eukaryota; Metazoa; Chordata; Mammalia; Rodentia; Muridae
Description: long non-coding RNA chr11:94951639-94953040
Source: RNAcentral
GUUCCCUCCCACCCAGCCCACUUUUCCCCAACCCUGGAAACAGACGAACAACCCAAACUCAAUUUCCCCCAAAAGCCAAAAAUAUGGGAGAUAAUUUCACAUGGACUUUGGAAAACAUUUUUUUUCCUUUGCAUUCACCUUUCAAACUUAGUUUUUACCUUUGACCAACUGAACGUGACCAAAAACCAAAAGUGCAUUCAACCUUACCAAAAAAGAAAAAAAAAAAAAGAAUAAAUAAAUAACUUUUUAAAAAAGGAAGCUUGGUCCUCUUGCUUGAAGACCUAUGUGGGUAUAAGUCCCUUCCUGCCCACUUGGCUUAUGAUACCCUAAUGCUGCCUUUUCUGCUCCUUUCUCCACCCCCUCUUGGGGCCUCUCCUCCAUUGCUCCCCAAAUUUAAGUCUCCCCCAAGACACAGGAAAUAAUGCAUUGUCUGCCCAGCAAACAAAGGCAAUGCUGAAAUGUCCCACCAGCCCCUCAACCCCGUCUACUUCCCUACCCAGCACCCUCAAAUCCUGCUGGGACAUGGGGUUCUUGGACUGUUGAAGGAACCUAACCAUCUGGCAUCUCCAUGGCCUCUGCAACAAACCCCCCACUUUUUUCUCUCCCCCCCCCCCCAGGGAGGGCCUGUGCUUUGGGCAGCCACCUGCCCCUCUCAGGGGUUUGGAGCCAGGCAGGGUCACAGCAGACUGGAAACAUCGGACAUGCAUGUGCAGGCUGGGUGGGAGAGACCGUUCUAUUCCUCAGUGCAAUUGUGUUGCUGAAAGACUACCUCGUUCUUGUCUUUGUGUGUCACCGGGGCAACUGUGUGGGGGCGGGGAUGGGGGCAGGGUGGCAGCACGCCCAGUUUGGUAUCAAAGGUGCUACAUCUCUGUGAAGGGGUGGGGUGGGAAGGAAUUUCUGGUGCUAUAGAAGCUGAGAUGCUCCCUAGACCAGCAAAUGUUUCUUUUGUUCAAAGUAUUUUUUAUUCUUUUUUUUUUUUUUUUUAAUGGAUAGGGACUUGUGUGAAUUGUUGGGGUUUUUUUUUUUUUUUUUUUUGGUUUUGUUUUUUUUUGUUUUGUUUUGUUUUUUUUCCUGAAGGUGCUAUUUAACAAGGGAGAAGAGAGUGCGGGGACUUCACCCUGCCCACUCUCUACUCUCUCUCCACUCUUCUAGUUCCUGGGCCUAUCUGAUCUCUCUCUUUCUUCUGAAACCCUCCCCUCUUGCUGCUGCUCCCUCCCCUCUGCCUCUCUCUUGGUCUGUCCUGCAUCAGGGUUUCAGAGCACCACUUUCCAAAGCACAAAACAGUUUUUACCCCUGGGCUGGGAGGAAACAAGAGACUCUGUACCUAUUUUGUAUGUGUAUAAUAAUUUGAGAUGUUUUUAAUUAUUUUGAUUGCUGGAAUAAAGCAUGUGGAAAUGACCC